UCGUCAAAGGGAAAAAGAGUUCCACUGGGGUGAACAGAGGGUGGACAUUUCCCAACUCCCUUCCGGAACCGUAUUUUAACCCUGGGAUUCAGGUCGGACCUCCUUAAUCAGCACACCGUGGCAUCCAUCACUGCUGAGGAAUAGAGAUACAGAGCUGUGAAACCCUGCCUGCAGAUGAAGAGCAAUGGGUCCCAGUCCUGUUCCUGGGGUCUCAAAGGGAUGCCUUGCAACUUGAAAUUUCUUCAAAACGAUUGUCACUGUGUAGGGCACUGCACAGUUGGGUGACCAGGGCCAUCUGGGACUGUUGUCGUGGAAAUUUCCUCUAUUUACCAAAUCAUGGGAGCAAACCACACACACAAGUCAGAGUUAGUUAUAAAAGUCCGUCUUUAAUUAUAUGAGCUCUAUCACAAUCCUGUGACUCUCAGAUAAAUUCAGUGUCCCUCAAUGAAUUCUCUGAAAGCCCCCUUACAAUACAACUGAGAUCCUUUAAUAGCAAAGAACACACAUAGUCAGACAGCAUAGACAUAAUAAAUCGUUCAGCUUUGUCUCCUUUCUCAAACCCCAGAACCAUAAACCAAUCCUGGGGCGGCAGGGUAGCCUAGUGGUUAGAGCGUUGGGCUAGUAACCGGAAGGUUGCAAGUUCAAAUCCCUGAGCUGACAAGGUACAAAUCUGUCAUUCUGCCCCUAAACAGGCAGUCUCAUUUGAUAUAUGCCUGUUGAUUUUAUUUUAUUUUACCUUUAUUUAACUAGGCAAGUCAGUUAAGAACAAAUUCUUAUUUUCAAUGACGGCCUAGGAACGGUGGGUUACUCCCUACCUUUCCCAGUGGGGAAAGGAGGGUGGCAGUGUCUGGAAUCAUUCUAUGCUCCCUCUAAUGUUGUUUCUAUCUUAACCUAUAGUCUCAUUCUCCUCUCUGUGAGCUUGUCCAGGAUUGGUUGUAUUUAGGGUUGGUUGUAUCUAAAUGACAAUUUGAUAUAUGCCUGUUGAUUUUAUUUUAUUUUACCUUUAUUUAACUAGGCAUAUAUCAAAUUGUCAUUUGAUAUAUGCCUGUUGAUUUUAUUUUAUUUUACCUUUAUUUAACUAGGCAUAUAUCAAAUUGUCAUUUAGAUACAACCAACCCUAAAUACAACCAAUCCUGGACAAGCUCACAGAGAGGAGAAUGAGGCUAUAGGUUAAGAUAGAAACAACAUUAGAGGGAGCAUAGAAUGAUUCCAGACACUGCCACCCUCCUUUCCCCACUGGGAAAGGUAGGAGUAAAAUAUAUGUUUACACAUGAUGACACUUUGACCUCUCCCCUCUCCGCGACCCAUGCAACUUAGUCUUGACAUAGAACAGAUAACUGCAACCUCGCCACAGUAUUAUACAAAAAUACCAUUCUGAUGAGAAGUAACUUACACACAUUUGAUAAAACAUCUUACAUAUGUUACCAACAAAUUCUGAAUCUUCCACGACACUGUCUCGUGGGGAUUUCAGGCAUCUGUGAAGACUACCUGUGUCCUGCAUAACUUCAUGAUGAUGAACAGGAGGGGACAUGCAGCGCUCCGCCGUGUGCCAGAGGAGAGGUCUGCUGCUCUGCAGGAUGUUGCCAGGAUGGGGGCCAACAACGCAGCACAGUAGGCAAUCUGUGCAGGAGACCUUCACCUCCUACUUCUUCGCAAAGGAUGCUGUUCCUUGGCAACACCAUAGACUACACUAUGCACAACCAAAGGCUCUUUUAAGAGCCAUCCACAUUGCAAUAAGAGUAUUCUUGAAUUUACUUAGCUAUGUCAACUGCAGUUAUUCAAUUUCCAGUUUCUCUUCCUUUGAUUUCUACUUUGCGGGUGAGGGUGCUGUUUAGGUAGGAGUGGUGUCUGUACAAAAACAAAACAGACUCUCACCCAUUUUGAAAACAUUUAGAACAAUUAGACACCCUAUAAGCCACAACUACACACUUGUCUAUUGCUAUAAAGAAGCGUUAACACACCUCACACAGGCCUUUUUUCAGGUGAAUACGUUUUAGAAAAAAAUAUUAGUGUGUGUUUCUGGAAAAAAGGGCCACUAUUGUCUCAAAAGUCCGUUAUUAUUGACUUUUAAAACAAUUAUUGUUCAUCAGUAAAAGGGGCAAUCCGCAGUUAAUAUAACUUGUGCUUAGUUCAACUGUUGUACCCCAUUGUUAGAGGAGAUUAUGGUUGAAAUGAUUAAUUAUGUAUACAUUAUUGAUUAGAACCAUUUAUUCUAAUACUAUUAUGUUAUGGUAUGAAAAGUAAAAGUUAUUGGUUAAGCUGUUACUGAAAAUGUAAGCAGAAAUAAUUCAUUGUCUGUGCCUCUUGGGAAGUUUAAGGGGGAGGGAUGAGAUAGCUUUUCAGACAGAUAAGAAUGUUUUGGUUGGAUUCCAUUAGUGGAGAGAUGCUAGUGGUUGGAAUGUAGUUUUAUGGGAGGAGCAGGAAGAUUGUACCAGACCUAAUAAACAAUGGGCUCUUGUGAGAAUCGGAGAGAGGGUGGGAAACUGAUGAUGUCAUUUUCAGUUUAUAACCUGUGGAAAUGUGUGUAAGCAUUUAGUACUCUCUUGUAAUAAACGCUGUUACUUUUGGCUUUUAA
Molecule: long non-coding RNA, 2575 nt
Organism: Oncorhynchus keta (chum salmon)
Lineage: Eukaryota; Metazoa; Chordata; Actinopteri; Salmoniformes; Salmonidae
Exons: 3
Source: RefSeq, a predicted model, not a curated record